Molecule: non-coding RNA, 26 nt
Filed under: Cricetulus griseus (Chinese hamster)
Lineage: Eukaryota; Metazoa; Chordata; Mammalia; Rodentia; Cricetidae
Source: RNAcentral
GUCGCUAUAACAGAAUGCCAGAGACU